UUUUUUUUUUUCUCCCCUUUUUUUAAUACUUGGCUUAUGUUUGCUUGUUUUCAAUACUCUUGUUGUGACCUCAAAUUUCUGUUGAAACCAGAUAGUCAUAUAGUUUGAUAAUUUUUUCUAUAUUUGUUGGCUUAUUGUUGUUCUGUUGUGAUUGUAUUACUCUUAUACCCACAAUUGUUUCUCAAACUUUUGCACUUUCUCAUGUUCUGUAUGGCAAGUGCUUGGCUUCAAUGAGUUGCUGUUAUGAUAAUAAGGAGAAUAGG
This 263-nucleotide unclassified non-coding RNA is filed under the name Hevea brasiliensis (rubber tree). The record is from RNAcentral. Lineage: Eukaryota; Viridiplantae; Streptophyta; Magnoliopsida; Malpighiales; Euphorbiaceae.